RNAcentral lists this ribosomal RNA (253 nucleotides) under uncultured bacterium. RNAcentral's name for it is "partial 16S ribosomal RNA". It matches the Rfam family "Archaeal small subunit ribosomal RNA", at positions 474 to 727 of the family's 1478-position model. The record is from RNAcentral.
UACCAGCACCCCGAGUGGUCGGGACGAUUAUUGGGCCUAAAGCAUCCGUAGCCGGCCUUACAAGUCCUCCGUUAAAUCCAGCUGCUUAACAGCUGGGCUGCGGAGGAUACUAUAAGACUAGGAGGCAGGAGAGGCAAGCGGUACUCAGUGGGUAGGGGUAAAAUCCGUUGAUCCAUUGAAGACCACCAGUGGCGAAGGCGGCUUGCCAGAAUGCGCUCGACGGUGAGGGAUGAAAGCUGGGGGAGCAAACCGG